UUUAAGUUCAGCCAUGAGUUUCCGUGCCCAACUUUGAUCGUCCGUCUUAUUUAAAAAAAUUUACAAUUAAUAUUUUUAUUGUUAUGAGAUGAUAAAAUAUGAAUACUUUAUACGUGACUUGUGUUUUAAAAUGUUUUCAAGAUUUUUUCAAAUAAAACGGAUGAUAAAGUUGAACACGAAAAAGCAUGACUACACACUUG
Oryza rufipogon (brownbeard rice) is the source of this 200-nucleotide microRNA precursor. It matches the Rfam family "MIR812 microRNA precursor family". The record is from Rfam. Lineage: Eukaryota; Viridiplantae; Streptophyta; Magnoliopsida; Poales; Poaceae.